Gasterosteus aculeatus aculeatus (three-spined stickleback) is the source of this 1462-nucleotide long non-coding RNA. NCBI's taxonomy places the organism in Eukaryota, Metazoa, Chordata, Actinopteri, Perciformes, Gasterosteidae. The record is from Ensembl.
UGCACACAUGAACUUUCAUGCUUUCUACUGGGUCUCUGCUUAAAACACAUACAUAGAACCUUCAUCUAGUUUCUGUUUCAUGGUUAUGGUUUGUUGAGUAUAAUUGUGUUUCCUCUACCUACACUAACUGAUUCCAGAAUUUUCCAAUGAAAUAAACAGUCACUAUUUCUUUGAAAUCAAAAGAGGGAGUGUCAAGUAGUUCCCGUUCGGCAACAUACCUUUAAAAAUGAAACCUAUAGAAGUAAAAGCGAAACUAAGAACCCGCAGUGGGCGAGGUGACACCUGGAGUAUAUAAAGGAGAUUGUGGCGUGUCACCUCAUCAUCUGUUUAAUUCAUCACCUGCACUGCAGCUCAUCCGGCCUGAUCAACACAGAACAAUCAUGGCAGCAGCAGCCUCAUCAAGAAGCAAAGGACGCCUGUUCUUCCUCCUCAGUCUGCUGUGUCUGGUUGGCCUCGCAAGUUCACGCAAAGACGACAUGAACCUGGACAAUUUCAAAGCACAAAUUCAGAAAGCGGAAGAAAACCUAAACCAGUUGAAGGCACAAAAGGACUUCUUAUCAACGCUCAUGAGUGAAACAAAGACCUUUACUGAACAGAGGAUGGCCGCUUUGGAGAAGUUUUUGUCAGAAGAAUCUGCUGACGAUGAUCUACCACUGAAAAACCUUUUUCAGAGCUUAUUGCAUUUAUCUGACUCAGCCAAGGCUUUUUUCGACAAGGAGAAUGAGGUGUCUGAUGCAGAAAUAACCAACAUGAAGCUAGAUCUGGAAAAGACUAAGCGACUUGUCCAAGCCCUUGAGGAGUACCACUCUGAAUUGUAAUGUUUAAGUCAGUCAAUGUCUCUCUUGCAUCUCUGAUAAUGAAUAUGCUGUAGUCUUUGGUCUUUCUUUUCUAUUGUGUUUCUUUGCACUGGUGUUUAAAUCAUGAAUUCCUUUUUCCUUCUUUAUCAUACAAUUUGUGAAGCAGAGAGAAUGUUGAUAAUAAAUCAACAUAAACACUGACAUGACAACAAUUAACCCAAAUGAUUUGUUUUGGUUUUUCUUUCAUUUGAAUUCUUGAGCAAUACUUCAAUACUCAAUCAUUUGACAUAGGCUGCAAACUUUAAAAAUGUUGAUUAUUAUUUAAUAAAUGUUCUGCCUAUUGAUUUUACAUCGCUGUAGAGUUAUAUGUUUUUAUAUACUACAUGCCUUCCUCAGAAAGAACGGCACACACCUGCUAGCCAAACACACAAACAGAAAAAAAGAAAUUAAAGAACAACGUCAGGGAAAGCAGCAUAUUCACAAACAUAAGGGCCAAUAAACCAAACCAUAACCGUUAUACUGUUGGUCUUGUGUAGCCAAAUGUCCGACGUGCACAGUAACAUGGAAACCUAAAGGUUCGCAAUUUCAAACCUAAAUUCAUGAAUUUACUCACUAAGCCACAAGAGUUUGUUCUUGUCUGAAAUAUUUUCUUUACAUUAGUCCAG